RNAcentral lists this transfer RNA (66 nucleotides) under uncultured Mailhella sp. It matches the Rfam family "tRNA". Rfam says of the family: Transfer RNA (tRNA) molecules are approximately 80 nucleotides in length. The record is from RNAcentral. Lineage: Bacteria; Pseudomonadati; Thermodesulfobacteriota; Desulfovibrionia; Desulfovibrionales; Desulfovibrionaceae.
GGCGUAGCUCAACUGGCAGAGCAGCUGAUUUGUAAUCAGCAGGUUGCGGGUUCAAUUCCCAUCGCC